This 537-nucleotide ribosomal RNA is filed under the name Kocuria dechangensis. RNAcentral's name for it is "bacterial SSU rRNA". It matches the Rfam family "Bacterial small subunit ribosomal RNA", at positions 331 to 873 of the family's 1533-position model. Lineage: Bacteria; Bacillati; Actinomycetota; Actinomycetes; Micrococcales; Micrococcaceae. The record is from RNAcentral.
UGGGGGCCCUACGGGAGGCAGCAGUGGGGAAUAUUGCACAAUGGGCGAAAGCCUGAUGCAGCGACGCCGCGUGAGGGAUGACGGCCUUCGGGUUGUAAACCUCUUUCAGUAGGGAAGAAGCGCAAGUGACGGUACCUGCAGAAGAAGCGCCGGCUAACUACGUGCCAGCAGCCGCGGUAAUACGUAGGGCGCAAGCGUUGUCCGGAAUUAUUGGGCGUAAAGAGCUCGUAGGCGGUUUGUCGCGUCCGCUGUGAAAGCCCGGGGCUCAACCCCGGGUCGGCAGUGGGUACGGGCAGACUAGAGUGCAGUAGGGGAGACUGGAAUUCCUGGUGUAGCGGUGAAAUGCGCAGAUAUCAGGAGGAACACCGAUGGCGAAGGCAGGUCUCUGGGCUGUUACUGACGCUGAGGAGCGAAAGCAUGGGGAGCGAACAGGAUUAGAUACCCUGGUAGUCCAUGCCGUAAACGUUGGGCACUAGGUGUGGGGGACAUUCCACGUCCUCCGCGCCGUAGCUAACGCAUUAAGUGCCCCUGCGCUGC